UACGGAGGGGGCUAGCGUUGUUCGGAAUUACUGGGCGUAAAGCGCACGUAGGCGGCUUCGCAAGUCAGAGGUGAAAGCCCGGGGCUCAACCGCGGAACUGCCUCUGAGACUGCGUCGCUCGAAUCCGGGAGAGGCGGGCGGAAUUCCUGGUGUAGAGGUGAAAUUCGUAGAGAUUCGGAAGAACACCAGUGGCGAAGGCGGCCCGCUGGACUGGAACUGACGCUGAGGUGCGAAAGCGUGGGGAGCAAACAGG
RNAcentral lists this ribosomal RNA (253 nucleotides) under uncultured bacterium. RNAcentral describes it as "partial 16S ribosomal RNA". It matches the Rfam family "Bacterial small subunit ribosomal RNA", at positions 524 to 776 of the family's 1533-position model. The record is from RNAcentral.